This 258-nucleotide unclassified non-coding RNA is filed under the name uncultured fungus. RNAcentral's name for it is "partial contains 18S rRNA, ITS1, 5.8S rRNA". Lineage: Eukaryota; Fungi. The record is from RNAcentral.
UGGGAGAACCAAGAGAUCCGUUGUCGAAAGUUGUGUAUAGUUUGUUGGCCAGUGACGGUCCAACCAAGUUCCACGUUCAUACUAACCAUUCGAGUUUGUAGCGAAGAAAGACCCCAAGAGAGGCCACAAAAAACUUCUCUGAAGCCUUUCUCCAAGACAGUGCACACGGGUUUGUGGAUGUAUAGUGGGUGUAGGCGGCCAGGGACACUUUUUGGCGUCCGCAUGGCCUGCCCAAAUCUUCACUAAUGAUCCUUCUGC